GAUGAAGAACGCAGCGAAAUGCGAUAAGUAAUGUGAAUUGCAGAAUUCAGUGAAUCAUCGAAUCUUUGAACGCACAUUGCGCCCGCCAGUAUUCUGGCGGGCAUGCCUGUCUGAGCGUCAUUUCAACCCUCAUGUCCCUAGGGCGUGGUGUUGGGGAUCGGCCAAAGCCCGCGAGGGACGGCCGGCCCCUAAAUCUAGCGGCGGACCCGUCGUGGCCUCCUCUGCGAAGUAGUGAUAUUCCGCAUCGGAGAGCGACGAGCCCCUGCCGUUAAACCCCCAACUUUCCAAGGUUGACCUCAGAUCAGGUAGGAAUACCCGCUGAACUUAAGCAUAUCAAUAAGCGGAGGA
Molecule: unclassified non-coding RNA, 348 nt
Filed under: soil metagenome
Description: partial contains 5.8S ribosomal RNA, internal transcribed spacer 2, and large subunit ribosomal RNA
Rfam family: 5.8S ribosomal RNA (bases 1-120)
Source: RNAcentral